CUACACUCACACUCUCAGUUUCGUUCGGUUCUGCCAUUGUACACACUCAGCAUUCAUCCGGCUUAUCACUGCUUCUCUCCAGUAGUACGCAUCACUUAUCGAGAUUGCAACAAAAAGGCCAAUUUUAUUCUGCACUUGUGCUGUUGUUGUUAACGUGCCGCUAAAUAUUAGUACUCCCUUCAGUACGCGUGUUACCAAACCCCCGUCAAAGACCCAAAUAAAAA
Anopheles gambiae (African malaria mosquito) is the source of this 224-nucleotide long non-coding RNA. RefSeq lists it as uncharacterized. The transcript is spliced from 2 exons. The record is from RefSeq and is a predicted model, not a curated record. NCBI's taxonomy places the organism in Eukaryota, Metazoa, Arthropoda, Insecta, Diptera, Culicidae.